This 421-nucleotide ribosomal RNA is filed under the name uncultured archaeon. RNAcentral describes it as "partial 16S ribosomal RNA". It matches the Rfam family "Archaeal small subunit ribosomal RNA", at positions 323 to 746 of the family's 1478-position model. The record is from RNAcentral.
CUACGGGAGGCUGCAGUCGAGGAAAUUUUACAAUGCUCGAAAGAGUGAUAGAAUGAGUCAGAGUGUUUCUCUUAGAGAAACUUUUUUCUGUUGUAAAAAGACAGAAGAAUAUGGACUGGGAAAGACCGGUGCCAGCCGCCGCGGUAAUACCGGCGGUCCAAGUCGCAUCCACAUUUAUUGGGUCUAAAACAUCCGUAGCUUGUUUUAUAAGUCUCUUGUGAAAUUCUACAUCUCAAGUGUAGAGCGUGCAAGAGAUACUAUAUUACUAGAGACCGGAAGGCGUAAAGAGUAUGGUUGAGGUAGCGGUAAAAUGUGUUAAUCUCAAUUAGACUAACAAUUAGCGAAGGCACUUUACGAGUACGGAUCUGACAGUGAGGGAUGAAGGCUAGGGGCGCAAAAGGGAUUAGAUACCCCGGUAGUC